GGAGCUGCAAACUACAAAAUCUACAAGAAUCAGAAGUCCCUCUGUCUGCAAGAAUCAAAACCUAUUACCUAUAUCAAAACCCAUAUCGGCAUAUCAUUUCAGAUUGUUCAAAAAAUCAAAACUCAUAUCUUUCAGUUCCAAUUGCUCGUUGUUUCAGUUCGGGUUCGCCGUUCGCAAGCUUCAGCCGCUGGCCCGCUGUCUCUCAACUCUCUCCCUGCAACUGCUAACUUGGUUAACAUCGGGCCUUAACAUUUAGCAAGAACAAGGUUCAAGAAACAUGCCUCCUCAGUCAUUGGGUUUCUUUUUUGAAAGAAGAGAGUUGAUGGGAAUGGGUGGAGUGGGCAAAAAGAAAAUAGAACAAUUAGAGACUGCAUGUUAACACCGAGGUCACCAAUACUGUGCAAAAUCCGGGAGUCAUCUAUCCUUUUCAAAAUCAGAGAGUCGUCAUUCCUUUUCAAAAUUAGAGAGUCAUCAAUCCUUUGCAAAAAGCAAUGAUCAUCAACCUUCGAUCAAAGUUGAGAAUCAUUCAUCCGAUUACAGGUCUUACCACUCCAAACUGGCUAAAAGGAAACUUAGGAACACGUCUUUUUUAGAAUAUGUCAUCGUAAGAUGGGGGACCUUACAAGCACAUUUAUAGUAUGGACCCCGAGAACGUCAGAAAAAUGUUUUUGGAAUCUGGUAUGAAGGAAGAUUUGUACGAAAUAAGGAGAUAUAUUUCUUCAAUAGUUGCCGAUUUGCGUCGUUUAGACGUCAUUUCAAAUCCCUUGACUUUGAAUGAUGGUUUCAAUCUUCCAUAAAGGAAAGUAGGUGUUACAUUCUGGAUUAUAUGAAGGGACACUAUUUAAUAUGGUGGCACAAUCUGAUUAUUUCAUUGACAGUUGGGUAUGAGGCUCCUUCGGCAGGUAUAAAUAGGUUUAACACCGAUGGCACAUUUAUUGAUUCUGGAUCAUCAAUGGCUCUUUUAAGAACUUCUGACCAAUCUAAUGGUUGACAAUCCCAGGCCUCAACGACAAUAUAAUCUGUAAGUCUGAGCUUCAAGAACUUCUGGAGUUGAGGGUGUUCCUGGAGAGACGGGGCGGGGCAGGGUAUAUAGAGACAGUGAAAACAAUCUGGGACCAGUGUUUUAUGGUAAGGUCAAUGAGAUAUUCUUAUCCUACGAGGCGGAGAUGUGCGGCAUCUAUUAUAGUUUCUGCCGUUCUUACAAGGAUAGUGGUUUACACAAUGCACCAUGUGUAUGGGAGAAUGACUCUUUAAAUCUCGUUAAUGCCAUUAAUUCAGGCAUACACAUACCAGAUGAUGACUUUAAAGUUAAACAAAGGUACUAUUGUUUUUCUUGGCUUUUCAAA
This is a long non-coding RNA of Cornus florida, 1346 nucleotides long. RefSeq lists it as uncharacterized. The transcript is spliced from 6 exons. The record is from RefSeq and is a predicted model, not a curated record. Lineage: Eukaryota; Viridiplantae; Streptophyta; Magnoliopsida; Cornales; Cornaceae.